Molecule: non-coding RNA, 200 nt
Organism: Oncorhynchus mykiss (rainbow trout)
Lineage: Eukaryota; Metazoa; Chordata; Actinopteri; Salmoniformes; Salmonidae
Source: RefSeq, a predicted model, not a curated record
AAAGGUUUAAGGAAAUACAGGCAUGCACCACAUUACUACAACACAGCUCAAUCAAGCCUGAUGGUCUUGCCCUCCAUUGCCAAACCUGAAGCCCCCUGUCCCCAGCAGGAAAGACCAGGAAAAAGUGUUGGCUUAAGACCCACUGGAGAAACGAAUGGAGAGAGGGGAUGAGAAACGCACGAUGGGGAGAUAUUCUGUUG